This 824-nucleotide ribosomal RNA is filed under the name Streptococcus gallolyticus. Its description in RNAcentral is "bacterial SSU rRNA". It matches the Rfam family "Bacterial small subunit ribosomal RNA", at positions 55 to 866 of the family's 1533-position model. Lineage: Bacteria; Bacillati; Bacillota; Bacilli; Lactobacillales; Streptococcaceae. The record is from RNAcentral.
AUGCAGUAGAACGCUGACUACUUUAGCUUGCUAGAGUAGAAGGAGUUGCGAACGGGUGAGUAACGCGUAGGUAACCUGCCUACUAGCGGGGGAUAACUAUUGGAAACGAUAGCUAAUACCGCAUAACAGUGUUUAACACAUGUUAGAUGCUUGAAAGAUGCAAAUGCAUCACUAGUAGAUGGACCUGCGUUGUAUUAGCUAGUUGGUGGGGUAACGGCCUACCAAGGCGACGAUACAUAGCCGACCUGAGAGGGUGAUCGGCCACACUGGGACUGAGACACGGCCCAGACUCCUACGGGAGGCAGCAGUAGGGAAUCUUCGGCAAUGGGGGCAACCCUGACCGAGCAACGCCGCGUGAGUGAAGAAGGUUUUCGGAUCGUAAAGCUCUGUUGUAAGAGAAGAACGUGUGUGAGAGUGGAAAGUUCACACAGUGACGGUAACUUACCAGAAAGGGACGGCUAACUACGUGCCAGCAGCCGCGGUAAUACGUAGGUCCCGAGCGUUGUCCGGAUUUAUUGGGCGUAAAGCGAGCGCAGGCGGUUUAAUAAGUCUGAAGUUAAAGGCAGUGGCUUAACCAUUGUUCGCUUUGGAAACUGUUAAACUUGAGUGCAGAAGGGGAGAGUGGAAUUCCAUGUGUAGCGGUGAAAUGCGUAGAUAUAUGGAGGAACACCGGUGGCGAAAGCGGCUCUCUGGUCUGUAACUGACGCUGAGCUCGAAAGCGUGGGGAGCAAACAGGAUUAGAUACCCUGUAGUCCACGCCGUAAACGAUGAGUGCUAGGUGUUAGCCCUUUCCGGGCUUAGUGCCGCAGCUAACGCAUUAAGCA